Molecule: long non-coding RNA, 372 nt
Organism: Bos indicus x Bos taurus (hybrid cattle)
Lineage: Eukaryota; Metazoa; Chordata; Mammalia; Artiodactyla; Bovidae
Source: Ensembl
GUGUUUCUAUGCCUCCCCUUCCCUAAGUUUCUUUUGCUUGGCAUUUGAUGGGUUGACACAGAAGAGGCACUGUGUGAAGCUCAUCUUAAAUGCCAGGGAACUUGGGAGAAUCUCAGGAUACAGAGGGAGUGAAAGAGAUCUGUUUGCUGGUUGUCCACCUAUAGCAAACGAAGCAUCAGUCAUCAUCCCUUGUGAUACGUGAGGCUGCUGGCCUUUAAUUCAACAGACUUCCAGUCUUAGGAGAAGUAGAGCGUCUGACUCAGGGAAGGGCAGGGGCUGAGAGACAAGCCUUGUAAUUAAACUAAGAUGUUGGAGUAUUUCUGUGUGUGCCCUUAGUCUUAAAACACAGUGUACUUUUGGACAUAUAUCUAG